GUGUCAGCAGCCGCGGUAAGACGAAGGGGGCUAGCGUUGUUCGGAAUUACUGGGCGUAAAGCGCACGUAGGCGGCCUUUCAAGUCGGAUGUGAAAGCCCCGAGCUUAACUCGGGAACUGCAUUUGAUACUGUUGGGCUAGAGACCGGGAGAGGAUAGCGGAAUUCCCAGUGUAGAGGUGAAAUUCGUAGAUAUUGGGAAGAACACCAGUGGCGAAGGCGGCUAUCUGGACCGGUACUGACGCUGAGGUGCGAAAGCGUGGGGAGCAAACAGGAUUAGAUACCCCGGUAGUCC
This 292-nucleotide ribosomal RNA is filed under the name uncultured bacterium. RNAcentral's name for it is "partial 16S ribosomal RNA". It matches the Rfam family "Bacterial small subunit ribosomal RNA", at positions 505 to 796 of the family's 1533-position model. The record is from RNAcentral.